Molecule: ribosomal RNA, 451 nt
Filed under: uncultured organism
Description: partial 16S ribosomal RNA
Rfam family: Bacterial small subunit ribosomal RNA
Source: RNAcentral
CACUCCUGCGGGAGGCAGCAGUGGGGAAUAUUGGACAAUGGGCGCAAGCCUGAUCCAGCCAUGCCGCGUGAGUGAUGAAGGCCCUAGGGUUGUAAAGCUCUUUCACCGGUGAAGAUAAUGACGGUAACCGGAGAAGAAGCCCCGGCUAACUUCGUGCCAGCAGCCGCGGUAAUACGAAGGGGGCUAGCGUUGUUCGGAUUUACUGGGCGUAAAGCGCACGUAGGCGGACUAUUAAGUCAGGGGUGAAAUCCCGGGGCUCAACCCCGGAACUGCCUUUGAUACUGGUAGUCUUGAGUUCGAGAGAGGUGAGUGGAAUUCCGAGUGUAGAGGUGAAAUUCGUAGAUAUUCGGAGGAACACCAGUGGCGAAGGCGGCUCACUGGCUCGAUACUGACGCUGAGGUGCGAAAGCGUGGGGAGCAAACAGGAUUAGAUACCCUUGUAGUCCCAUGAU